Molecule: transfer RNA, 87 nt
Filed under: Candidatus Roizmanbacteria bacterium RIFCSPHIGHO2_12_FULL_41_11
Lineage: Bacteria; Candidatus Roizmaniibacteriota
Also listed under: 2 other names
Description: tRNA-Tyr
Rfam family: tRNA
About the family: Transfer RNA (tRNA) molecules are approximately 80 nucleotides in length.
Source: RNAcentral
CCAGGGGUGACGGAGUGGCCAAUCGUAACAGUCUGUAAAACUGUCGGGAUUUUCCCUGCGGAGGUUCGAAUCCUCCCCCCUGGACAA